AUUGAACGCUGGCGGCGUGCCUAACACAUGCAAGUCGAGCGGUAACAGGUGUAGCAAUACAUGCUGACGAGCGGCGGACGGGUGAGUAACGCUUGGGAAUCUGCCUAUUAGUGGGGGACAACCCGGGGAACUCGGGCUAAUACCGCAUACGCUCUACGGAGGAAAGCCGGGGACCGCAAGGCCUGGCGCUAAUAGAUGAGCCCAAGUCGGAUUAGCUAGUUGGUAGGUAAUGGCCUACCAAGGCGACGAUCCGUAACUGGUCUGAGAGGACGACCAGUCACACCGGAACUGAGACACGGUCCGGACUCCUACGGGAGGCAGCAGUGGGGAAUAUUGGACAAUGGGCGAAGCCUGAUCCAGCGACGCCGCGUGGGUGAAGAAGGCCUGCGGGUUGUAAAGCCCUUUCAGUGGGGAAGAAAAGCCUCGACCUAACACGUCGGGGUCUUGACGUAACCAUAGAAGAAGCACCGGCUAACUCUGUGCCAGCCGCCG
RNAcentral lists this ribosomal RNA (492 nucleotides) under uncultured bacterium. RNAcentral's name for it is "bacterial SSU rRNA". It matches the Rfam family "Bacterial small subunit ribosomal RNA", at positions 29 to 517 of the family's 1533-position model. The record is from RNAcentral.